This is a non-coding RNA of Salmo salar (Atlantic salmon), 774 nucleotides long. The record is from RefSeq and is a predicted model, not a curated record. NCBI's taxonomy places the organism in Eukaryota, Metazoa, Chordata, Actinopteri, Salmoniformes, Salmonidae.
GUACAUUUGACAACUCUUUUAUGUCGAUCCACUUGAGGCGUGUCGACAGCAGGAGAAAUGAGUUGUUAUGGUGACCAGCACGCAAUGCUGUCCUCAGAUGAUGUGAUGCCACCUCCUGGUGAAUCCAUGUCCUGCUGCUGACAUUAGUAUUUGUGUCUCUGAGCUGUAGUUCUCCUCAGUGGCUGACAGGACCACAGACAUACAGAGUGACCUGGGGGUGUGACGGUGAAACAAGCUCAACAAGAGUGAAACGUGGGCAUCAUCUUGAAAUAAGCAUCCUCAAACCUGGUGAAAACUACCAGUUCAACAUGGCAACAGAGGGAGAAGAUGGAAGACAAAGCAGAUGGGUCUCAGCAUCCCUAUCCACAGUGGUCCCACCCAGAGAUUUAAAGAUAAACCAUUUGGAAGAGACCUCCUUCACUCUCCACUGGUCCAAGGCUGAAGGGAUGGAGAAAGUCCCACAGCGCUUCCUCAUAUCACACUGCAUCCCAGGAACAGACCCACUCACAGCCAUUACUGACAACUGCCACAAAGCUUUCUCAAACCUGCAACCUGGCACCGAGUACACUGUUAGUGUUACAACUGUGCUGAGCAAUGGGGAACAGAGUGAACCUGUCUCUACAACAAUUUGCACUAGUAAGAGAUCCCUAAUUACAGCGCAUCAUCUCUUUACCACUAAAGCCUAUCUCUAACCUUUUAUGCUGUCUCUCCUUUCUGGGGAGGUUCCCAUUGCUUGGAAGGCAGCUGUGGUUUGUCCUUUAUUUAAAGGGGGAG